UGAAUUAUUCAAUGUGAAGGGGAGUCAUGACAACUGCAAACACACGGUGCAUCAACAAAGAGGAACUGAGGUUAUGAGCUGAGGUUACAACCUGAGAGUGAGAAAGAGGAUUCUAAAAGACAAAUCCACACAAAGAUUAUCUAGAAAAUCCAGCUGGAGCAAUGACUGCAAUGAUGUCCCUUCAGUCCCGUCCAAUAGAUCGCUGACUCAGCACAGCCGCCGGAUGAUGCCAUCUGAAUGGUUUCAUCCAGACCCUGUUCCUGCCAUGGGCCUGCUGACAACUUCUGCUGUCAUCAGUAUUAUAAAUAUGAAUCACAUUACUAUUACUGUCAUCAUAAUUCAACAUUACCCGCUUUGCUUCUUUCCUGAAGUCUGUGCUUUCCCUAAUUUCUGUUAUAGGAAUUGAAUGUAUUGUACAUCUUAUAUGUUGUUCAUUCUGUACACAUGACAUCCAUUGUGGUUUGUCCCUCCUCGUUCUCCUUAAGGUUUCCUCCUUUUUUUCCCAUGGAAGGGUUAUUGAUUUUUUGGAGAGUUUUUCCUGUGCUGAUG
This is a long non-coding RNA of Gasterosteus aculeatus aculeatus (three-spined stickleback), 549 nucleotides long. RefSeq lists it as uncharacterized. Lineage: Eukaryota; Metazoa; Chordata; Actinopteri; Perciformes; Gasterosteidae. The record is from RefSeq and is a predicted model, not a curated record.